Molecule: ribosomal RNA, 492 nt
Filed under: uncultured bacterium
Lineage: Bacteria
Description: partial 16S ribosomal RNA
Rfam family: Bacterial small subunit ribosomal RNA
Source: RNAcentral
AGUGAACGCUGGCGGUAGGCCUAACACAUGCAAGUCGAACGGAAGCACAGUAAGAGCUUGCUCUUACGGGUGGCGAGUGGCGGGCGGGUGAGGAAUACAUCGGAAUCUACUUUUUCGUGGGGGAUAACGUAGGGACACUUACGCUAAUACCGCAUACGACCUACGGGUGAAAGCAGGGGUUCUUCGCACCUUGCGCGAUUGAAUGAGCCGAUGUCGGAUUAGCUAGUUGGCGGGGUAAAGGCCCACCAAGGCGACGAUCCGUAGCUGGUCUGAGAGGAUGAUCAGCCACACUGGAACUGAGAUACGGUCCAGACUCCUACGGGAGGCAGCAGUGGGGAAUCUUGGACAAUGGGCGCAAGCCUGAUCCAGCCAUACCGCGUGGGUGAAGAAGGCCUUCGGGUUGUAAAGCCCUUUUGUUGGGAAAGAAAAGCAGCAGGUUAAUACCCCGCUGUUCUGACGGUACCCAAAGAAUAAGCACCGGCUAACUUCGUG